GUGGGGAAUAUUGGACAAUGGGCGAAAGCCUGAUCCAGCCAUGCCGCGUGCAGGAAGACGCAUCUAUGGUGUGUAAACUGCUUUUGUACGGGAAGAAACACUCCCUCGUGAGGGAGCUUGACGGUACCGUAAGAAUAAGGAUCGGCUAACUCCGUGCCAGCAGCCGCGGUAAUACGGAGGAUCCAAGCGUUAUCCGGAAUCAUUGGGUUUAAAGGGUCCGUAGGCGGUUUAAUAAGUCAGUGGUGAAAGCCCAUCGCUCAACGAUGGAACGGCCAUUGAUACUGUUAGACUUGAAUUACAAGGAAGUAACUAGAAUAUGUAGUGUAGCGGUGAAAUGCUUAGAUAUUACAUGGAAUACCAAUUGCGAAGGCAGGUUACUACUUGUGGAUUGACGCUGAUGGACGAAAGCGUGGGGAGCGAACAGGAUUAGAUACCCUGGUAGUCC
RNAcentral lists this ribosomal RNA (445 nucleotides) under uncultured bacterium. RNAcentral describes it as "partial 16S ribosomal RNA". It matches the Rfam family "Bacterial small subunit ribosomal RNA", at positions 354 to 796 of the family's 1533-position model. The record is from RNAcentral.